RNAcentral lists this ribosomal RNA (253 nucleotides) under uncultured bacterium. RNAcentral describes it as "partial 16S ribosomal RNA". It matches the Rfam family "Bacterial small subunit ribosomal RNA", at positions 524 to 776 of the family's 1533-position model. The record is from RNAcentral.
UACAGAGGGUGCGAGCGUUAAUCGGAAUUACUGGGCGUAAAGCGCGCGUAGGCGGCUUUGCAAGUCGAGUGUGAAAUCCCCAGGCUUAACCUGGGAACUGCAUUCGAGACUGUAUGGCUAGAGUAUGGGAGAGGGAAGUGGAAUUUCAGGUGUAGCGGUGAAAUGCGUAGAUAUCUGAAGGAACAUCAGUGGCGAAAGCGACUUCCUGGACCAAUACUGACGCUCAUGUGCGAAAGCGUGGGGAGCAAACAGG